This 253-nucleotide ribosomal RNA is filed under the name uncultured bacterium. RNAcentral describes it as "partial 16S ribosomal RNA". It matches the Rfam family "Bacterial small subunit ribosomal RNA", at positions 524 to 776 of the family's 1533-position model. The record is from RNAcentral.
UACGUAGGGUGCAAGCGUUAUCCGGAAUUAUUGGGCGUAAAGAGCUCGUAGGCGGUUUGUCGCGUCUGCUGUGAAAACUGGAGGCUCAACCUCCAGCCUGCAGUGGGUACGGGCAGACUAGAGUGAUGUAGGGGAGACUGGAAUUCCUGGUGUAGCGGUGAAAUGCGCAGAUAUCAGGAGGAACACCGAUGGCGAAGGCAGGUCUCUGGGCAUUAACUGACGCUGAGGAGCGAAAGCAUGGGGAGCGAACAGG